CUACGGAGGGUGCGAGCGUUAAUCGGAAUUACUGGGCGUAAAGCGUGCGUAGGCGGUUUGCUAAGUCAGAUGUGAAAGCCCCGGGCUUAACCUGGGAACUGCAUUUGAUACUGGCAGACUAGAGUAUGAUAGAGGGGGGUAGAAUUCCUGGUGUAGCGGUGAAAUGCGUAGAUAUCAGGAGGAAUACCAGUGGCGAAGGCGGCCCCCUGGAUCAAUACUGACGCUGAGGUACGAAAGCGUGGGGAGCGAACAGGAUUAGAAACCCCAGUAGUCC
Molecule: ribosomal RNA, 274 nt
Filed under: uncultured bacterium
Lineage: Bacteria
Description: partial 16S ribosomal RNA
Rfam family: Bacterial small subunit ribosomal RNA
Source: RNAcentral